This 252-nucleotide ribosomal RNA is filed under the name uncultured Bacteroidales bacterium. RNAcentral describes it as "partial 16S ribosomal RNA". It matches the Rfam family "Bacterial small subunit ribosomal RNA", at positions 524 to 776 of the family's 1533-position model. The record is from RNAcentral. Lineage: Bacteria; Pseudomonadati; Bacteroidota; Bacteroidia; Bacteroidales.
UACGGAGGGGGCGAGCGUUGUUCGGAGUGACUGGGCGUAAAGAGCACGUAGGCGGUGUUGUAAGUCAUUAGUCAAAGACUAGAGCUCAACUCCAUCCAGCCGUUGAAACUGAUGAUCUUGAGUGGGCGAGAAGUAUGCGGAAUGCGUGGUGUAGCGGUGAAAUGCAUAGAUAUCACGCAGAACUCCGAUUGCGAAGGCAGCAUACCGGCGCCCGACUGACGCUGAAGCACGAAAGCGUGGGUAUCGAACAGG